RNAcentral lists this ribosomal RNA (659 nucleotides) under Cleomella serrulata. RNAcentral's name for it is "eukaryotic LSU rRNA". The stretch from base 262 to 417 matches the Rfam family "5.8S ribosomal RNA". Lineage: Eukaryota; Viridiplantae; Streptophyta; Magnoliopsida; Brassicales; Cleomaceae. The record is from RNAcentral.
UCGAUACCUAAUCCGAAAGGAAUGACCUGUGAACGAGUGUUCACACACGCGUUGCAGUGGGCCUCCACGGUUCUGUGCUGCUAAUCCACGGGGCUCCGAGUAUUGCAUCGAGCUUGCUCUUCGCAACUCCGGUGCUUCCGUUGGAAAUCACCAAACCCCGGCGUGAAAAGCGCCAAGGAAUAUAUAAACGAAACAGCUCGCUCUAGAUGGCCCUCACAAGGUGUUCCGUCUGGAUGCGUGUCUGCGUCAUAAGUCUAUAACGACUCUCGGCAACGGAUAUCUCGGCUCUCGCAUCGAUGAAGAACGUAGCGAAAUGCGAUACUUGGUGUGAAUUGCAGAAUCCCGUGAACCAUCGAGUCUUUGAACGCAAGUUGCGCCCCAAGCCGUCAGGCCGAGGGCACGUCUGCCUGGGUGUCACGCAUCGUCGUCCCCCACACACCCGGUGCUACACGCCCGGGUGAACACGGAGACGGAGAUUGGUCUCCCGUGUGUUACCGCACGCGGUUGGCCCAAAAUCGAGCCAAGGGCGUGAUCGUCCUGACGAGCGGUGGUGUAUAGAUGCCUCGUGUUAAUGUUGUUCGAUCACGUCCCUCAUGACUCUGCGACCCUUCUAGAGCUGCUAAGGCGGCUCUCCGAACGCGACCCCAGGUCAGGCGGGA